UUAAAGAGCAGUGAAAUUAUUCUUGAUCCUGGGAUUGUGUUUUAUGUCCUAAUGAUGGCAUUUUUGUUUGUCUAUGUAUUUAUGUUUAACCUUUUAACAACAUUUUGGGUUUUCGGUGAUGUUUAGUACCUAUUCCUUUAUAAAUGUAGCUUUUGCUUACAAGGCUUUUGUUGCUUUGCGGUCAGUCCAAGGUCCACGUCCUCUAACAUAAUUUGAUUGAGGGAGAUGAAGUGAAAUGUAAAUUGUCUGCAGUAGGUCACAGCAUAGCAAGCAGGGUGGUGUGGAGGCAGCUAGGCUGGCAUGGUACCCACCCACCCUAGCUGACACCUCUGCCCUCCCUCACCCUCUGUCUCAAUGUCAGGGAAACAGCUGACAGGGAAUCUGAAAACCCAUGUAUGGAAAUGUACACAGAUUUCCUGCUGGCCUCCACACUUUUCAUGUUGUCAUCUCAUAUGCGCUGCUAGCUAGACAGGCCAAUGGUAGGACAGCCCUGUCCCAUACGCCCUUCUGACCCCAGGACAUGCCUCACUCUGCCGUGUUUCAUCCUCCUGGUUUACAUGUGCCAGUCCAUCGUCUGUGCUGUGCUGUGCAUUGUGACAUUGUUUUUCUGUUACAUGAAUAAGGAAAGGCUAUCGGAAUAGAGAGUUAGAGCAUGUAUAUGUAAACUGACUUGUAAGUGUACUUGUAAAUACUUAUUCUUUACACAGAAAUGUGUUGCUUUAAAGUGAGAAAUGUUCUGAUUGUGAUCACUAAGAUCCAUGCAAUGAGCUUAGAGGGUGCAUAGCCUUUGGCUGUUUGGGAAGUAUAUUCUAACAUGACUGAUCAAUUUUUUAGGACUGAUUUACGGUAUGCCUGUGUUCAAUUCGUUUACUUAAGGCUAGUGGAGAGCUAUGAACUGAGAAAUUAUCGAUAUAUAAUUUAUUUAUUCCUUAAUUUACAUAUGUUAAUGGAUGGUUGUUCUGGAAACAUGCUGUUUCAGUGUUGGGAGUGAAGUGAAAGAGCUUGUUGGGUGAGUGUUGUGUUGGCUAGGCUAGUCUUUUGGGCAUUGUGGGGUGAAUGUGGAGUGAGACUGCUUGGGGCAUUGUGGGGUGAGACUGCUUGGGGCAGUGUGGGGUGAGACUGCUUGGGGCAGUGUGGGGUGAGACUGCUUGGGGCAGUGUGGGGUGAGACUGGUUGGGGCAGUGUGUGGGUGAGACUGGUUGGGGCAGUGUGUGGGUGAGACUGGAAUGCACAAUGUGGGGUAAGACUGGUUUGGGCAGUGUGGGGUGAGACUAGUCUGGUGCUUUAGAGUGGUUGGGGGAGUAAGACCCUGGUUGGGGCAGUGUGGGGUAAGACUGGUCUGGCAGUGAGGGGUGAAACAGUUCAGCCCAUUUGUGGUGAAACUGGUUUGGCUGUGUGCGGUGGUAUUAGUCUGGGCAGAGUGGUGGUGAGACAGGUCUGGCAGUGUUAGGUGGUAGUAGUCUGGGCAGAGUGGUGGUGAGACAGGUCUGGCAGUAUUAGGUGGUAGUAGUCUGGGCAGAGUGGUGGUGAGACAGGUCUGGCAGUAUUAGGUGGUAGUAGUCUGGGCAGAGUGGUGGUGAGACAGGUCUGGCAGUAUUAGAUGGUAGUAGUCUGGGCAGAGUGGUGGUGAGACAGGUCUGCCGGUAUUAGGUGGUAGUAGUCUGGGCAGAGUGGUGGUGAGACAGGUCUGGCGGUAUUAGGUGGUAGUAGUCUGGGCAGAGUGGUGGUGAGACAGGUCUGGCAGUAUUAGGUGGUAGUAGUCUGGGCAGAGUGGUGGUGAGACAGGUCUGGCAGUAUUAGGUGGUAGUAGUCUGGGCAGAGUGGUGGUGAGACAGGUCUGGCAGUAUUAGAUGGUAGUAGUCUGGGCAGAGUGGUGG
Molecule: long non-coding RNA, 1877 nt
Organism: Esox lucius (northern pike)
Lineage: Eukaryota; Metazoa; Chordata; Actinopteri; Esociformes; Esocidae
Source: Ensembl